RNAcentral lists this ribosomal RNA (254 nucleotides) under uncultured bacterium. Its description in RNAcentral is "partial 16S ribosomal RNA". It matches the Rfam family "Bacterial small subunit ribosomal RNA", at positions 524 to 776 of the family's 1533-position model. The record is from RNAcentral.
GACGAACCGUGCGAACGUUAUUCGGAAUCACUGGGCUUAAAGCGCGUGUAGGCGGGACGGCACGUCGGUCGCUGAAAUCCCCCGGCUCAACCGGGGAACGGGCACCGAUACGACCGUCCUGGAGGGACGUAGGGGGACCUGGAACUUCCGGUGGAGCGGUGAAAUGCGUUGAGAUCGGAAGGAACGCCCGUGGCGAAAGCGAGGUCCUGGACGUUUUCUGACGCUGAGACGCGAAAGCCAGGGGAGCGAACGGG